UGCAUAUCAAUAAGCGGAGGAAAAGAAACCAACAGGGAUUGCCUUAGUAACGGCGAGUGAAGCGGCAAAAGCUCAAAUUUGAAAUCUGGCACCUUCGGUGUCCGAGUUGUAAUUUGAAGAAGGUAACUUUGGAGUUGGCUCUUGUCUAUGUUCCUUGGAACAGGACGUCACAGAGGGUGAGAAUCCCGUGCGAUGAGAUGCCCAAUUCUAUGUAAAGUGCUUUCGAAGAGUCGAGUUGUUUGGGAAUGCAGCUCUAAGUGGGUGGUAAAUUCCAUCUAAAGCUAAAUAUUGGCGAGAGACCGAUAGCGAACAAGUACAGUGAUGGAAAGAUGAAAAGAACUUUGAAAAGAGAGUGAAAAAGUACGUGAAAUUGUUGAAAGGGAAGGGCUUGAGAUCAGACUUGGUAUUUUGCGAUCCUUUCCUUCUUGGUUGGGUUCCUCGCAGCUUACUGGGCCAGCAUCGGUUUGGAUGGUAGGAUAAUGACUAAGGAAUGUGGCUCUACUUCGGUGGAGUGUUAUAGCCUUGGUUGAUACUGCCUGUCUAGACCGAGGACUGCGUCUUUGACUAGGAUGCUGGCAUAAUGAUCUUAAGCCACCCGUCUUGAA
This 605-nucleotide ribosomal RNA is filed under the name Debaryomyces hansenii. RNAcentral describes it as "eukaryotic LSU rRNA". It matches the Rfam family "Eukaryotic large subunit ribosomal RNA", at positions 37 to 658 of the family's 3401-position model. The record is from RNAcentral. Lineage: Eukaryota; Fungi; Ascomycota; Pichiomycetes; Serinales; Debaryomycetaceae.